RNAcentral lists this ribosomal RNA (448 nucleotides) under uncultured bacterium. Its description in RNAcentral is "bacterial SSU rRNA". It matches the Rfam family "Bacterial small subunit ribosomal RNA", at positions 355 to 796 of the family's 1533-position model. The record is from RNAcentral.
UGGGGAAUAUUGGACAAUGGGGGCAACCCUGAUCCAGCGAUGCCGCGUGGGUGAAGAAGGCCUUCGGGUUGUAAAGCCCUUUAGGUUGGGAAGAAGGUUGGUGGAGGAAAUGCCAUUAACUUGACGGUACCGACAGAAUAAGCACCGGCAAACUCUGUGCCAGCAGCCGCGGUAAUACAGAGGGUGCGAGCGUUAAUCGGAUUAACUGGGCGUAAAGGGCGCGUAGGCGGUUAAAUGAGUGUGAUGUGAAAGCCCCGGGCUUAACCUGGGAAGAGCAUUGCAAACGAUAAAACUGGAGUUGAGGAGAGGGUGGCGGAAUUUCCGGUGUAGCGGUGAAAUGCGUAGAGAUCGGAAGGAACGUCAAUGGCGAAGGCAGCCACCUGGCCAAAAACUGACGCUGAGGCGCGAAAGCGUGGGUAGCGAACAGGAUUAGAUACCCGGGUAGUCC